UCGCUGAACCCAACCCGCGGGUAGGACGGAGUUUAGACCAGCUGAACCUCUUGUUGGUUUUAUACUGAGUCGACGUCAUCCUGGAUUUAGUUCCUGGCCCAGGCUGGACUCCCGGAGCCCCGGCGGCCUGGCCCAAGCCGGACUCUGAUCGCGGCAGGCGGCCGCGGUGAUUUGCGGGAUCCUCCGCGCGGCACGGCCGGUCCGCCGGAGCUGCCGGAGGCGCAUCCAAGCCCACCACCGUGCGCAGGCGGCAGAGCGCCUUUCGAGAAGCCUCUCUCCCGGUCACAGAGCACAGCUCAUAAUCGGAUGCCCUUAAGAAGAUUUUUCGUGGCAUGGGCAAAAAGCCGGCGUGUCCUUUACAAAGACUUUCCCGAGAGACCUCGCCCCUCUGUGAAGUUCUGGAAGCAGUGAGGGGAGACAGGAAGCAACAGAGACCAGUUUGUGCACAGUUGAGCCACCAAGCAGAGUGAGAUCUUCUUUAUAGAGAGACCGUCCGGGAGACAAAAUGUGAUUAAGAAAGAAGACUGGCCGGGAAAGACAGGAGGAGGUGUUUUAUUUACAUUUCUUACGCAUUCCAACACAUCUUACUGUGGUCAGCAAACCGGAAAGGAAAGGACGUAUUUCAUAACCUAAAGAAGGCACCAGACUUUUGUUUUGUUUUGUUUUUUCCUCAGCAUUCUACAUUCCUAUCUUACCCUUCUGCCCAUUUUGAAAUGAAUAAGGGUAGAUUUUUCCUGUUAGCCGUAGUUGUAAAGUUCUUGGAAAAACAAUUGAUUUGCUAAUAAAAUAUUUCCGUAGCUUUCAGCUGCUUAACUUUUAGGAACUUACGCCGAAAUGUGUUUGUGAUCAAAGUUAGCUAGGCGAGAUACGCAUUGGGGGUGAAAAAGGAAGACUUAAUACUCAAGAGAUAAUUUGGGAAGUUGUGGGUUGGGGUUUUUUGUUUUGUUUUGUUUUUGAAGGAAAGACUAUUAGAAAAUAAAACUGAAAAUUAUGGGGAAAGACAGCCAUGCCUGGGUGGCCGUGUUCCGUGUCCAGAAAGGUUGGUUACCAGCAGAGAUAUGUGUAACGUGUAUUCAUCUUUUUAGAGAGGACUUGAUGAAAUGGUCAUUGGACAAUACGUCAACUUCAGGUCUGGAUGCGAGAUGGAUAGCAGCUUAGAAGUCUGGAAUGUGUUUUAUCGUCACCGCACAUCUAGAUUUGGACCAGCCGCAUGUGGACGAGUCCUCAGGAGCCACCUGUGGCUGGUGGCCACCCCGUGGAACCGCACGGGGAUUAGACCGUGAAACAAAGACUGGGGCGGGUUGAAAUCCCAACGCUUCCGCUUAUUAGAUUCGUGACUGUCAGGCAGAUCAUUUAAUCACCUUCAGUCUUCAUGUUUCCUAGACGGUAAGAUGGGAUUUGACCAGGGAAUCUGUCUCUUGGGUCGUUGCAAUGGUCUGUGUGAGGUGCCCUAUGGAGGGUCAUUCACUCAUUCACUCGUGGUGCUAAUUCGGUCAUUCUAUCUAUACAACAAGGAGGUGUGGCUGUGUGCCAGGUGGGCCACUUGGCAGGGA
This is a long non-coding RNA of Leopardus geoffroyi (Geoffroy's cat), 1553 nucleotides long. RefSeq lists it as uncharacterized. The record is from RefSeq and is a predicted model, not a curated record. Lineage: Eukaryota; Metazoa; Chordata; Mammalia; Carnivora; Felidae. The transcript is spliced from 5 exons.